GCUAGAAUGCUUCAAAUAUCUUUUGCAAGUAUAAUAAACCUUUUUUUUUAAGUGGAAACAUGAAUAUUCUUCUGAAGAUCCUUUAUUAGGAUUUCAUUUCAAUGCAUUUAUGAUUACAUUAGUUCUUCUGUUUGAAACAGACUGGAAAAAAUAACUGCCACCAUUCAGAGCCCAGGACAGAGAAGCUUAACAGCUUGGAGGAGUCCAGAGUUGCUGGCUGGCCUAUGGAGCAGAUAAGCAAACUGAUACUGAGUAAGGAAGAAGCAGUUUCUCCAAGGAUUGUGAUGGUGUGCAUCUCGGGUCUCUCUGAGGAAUGAAGCCAGUUGAUCUUUCUGCUGAACAAGGUGAUCCACCCAGACCUAGCAGCUGUGACUUGCUGUGAUUCACACAGAGAGGAAUGUGGUGAUAAAUGGGAUUUUUCAAGUCGGAAGAAGAUCCGUGGGUUUGGAGGGCUGAUCUACAACAUGCACCAUGGCUUUGUUUGCAGUCAAAUUCUGUUUUAACCUGUAAAACUAGUUUGCAGUUUGGAAAUGGAUGAUUUAAGUGUCAUUGAAGUAUUUUUUUAAGUGUCAUAGCUAUUUUUAAAGCAAUUGCCUGUAUUCUUUUGAUGAACCUUGCCUGAAGACUAAUGACUGUAAACAUUCCUGCAUAAUAAGAGGCCUCAUUAUCAGAUUGUCAGCAAUUGUCUUGGCAAUAAAAAAAUGUACAGUCUUCACGGCUUGAAGGAAAUGGUGUUUUUUCUUUUGCUUUUAUUUUUUAAAAAAAUUUUUUGGUGCACUGAA
Passer domesticus (house sparrow) is the source of this 782-nucleotide long non-coding RNA. RefSeq lists it as uncharacterized. Lineage: Eukaryota; Metazoa; Chordata; Aves; Passeriformes; Passeridae. The transcript has 4 exons. The record is from RefSeq and is a predicted model, not a curated record.